AUUGAACGCUGGCGGCAGGCCUAACACAUGCAAGUCGAACGAGUGGCGGACGGGUGAGUAAUGUCUGGGAAACUGCCCGAUGGAGGGGGAUAACUACUGGAAACGGUAGCUAAUACCGCAUACCAUCGGAUGUGCCCAGCUGGGAUUAGCUAGUAGGUGGGGUAAAGGCUAACCUAGGCGACGAUCCCUAGCUGGUCUGAGAGGAUGACCAGCCACUCGGGAACGUGGACACGGUCCAGCCUCCUACGGGGGGCAGCAGUGGGGAAUUUUGGACAAUGGGCGCAAGCCUGCUGCGCCCAUGCCGCGGGUAUGAGGAAGGCCUUCGGGUUUUAAAGUACUUUCAGCGGGGAGGCGUUACCCGCAGAAGAAGCACCGGCUAACUCCGUGCCAGCAGCCGCGGUAAUAC
Molecule: ribosomal RNA, 406 nt
Filed under: uncultured bacterium
Lineage: Bacteria
Description: partial 16S ribosomal RNA
Rfam family: Bacterial small subunit ribosomal RNA
Source: RNAcentral